RNAcentral lists this transfer-messenger RNA (397 nucleotides) under Prevotella sp. It matches the Rfam family "transfer-messenger RNA". From Rfam's summary of the family: Bacterial tmRNA, also known as 10Sa RNA or SsrA, is named for its dual tRNA and mRNA-like properties. Lineage: Bacteria; Pseudomonadati; Bacteroidota; Bacteroidia; Bacteroidales; Prevotellaceae. The record is from RNAcentral. RNAcentral also lists the same sequence under 1 other name.
GGGGAUGACUGGAUUAGACAGCAGGAUGAGAUGGUAUGUAAGCACGCAGUGCGCCGAUGGCUGUCACUAUAAUCCAAGCGAUCAAAAAUUUAUCUGGCGAAAAUAAUUACGCUCUUGCUGCCUAGUCGAAGAUAGUAGACUGGCUUUAUCCCGUCACUAGGUGACAGGACGAGACAUCGCUCAGAGGCUCUUGUUCCGAAGCUUUCUGGUCCAGCGGUGUAGGAAUAAUCGGGAAUAGUUAUAGUAGGCCUUGAUGCUAUAAUGAAAUUUAGAGGAUAAGGUUGUAGUGGGUGGUCCAGGUCUUGCUACAGCACGAAAACCGAAGGCUGGAAUAAGCGUGUAGAAAGCGUAUGGUUUCCCUGUUUGGACGAGGGUUCAAGCCCCUCCAUCUCCACAA